AUUUCAUGUUUAUUAAAACACUAUAUAUUUUUUUUCAAAAUUCCUAGGUAUUCCUUGCAUUGCCUAGGAAUAGUUUGAAAAUAUAUACAGUUUAUUAAUGCGUUGGCAGACAUGUAAUAUUUUUGUUAGUUCAAAUUUUGACACUAGAAUAUUUGUAGCUAAAUACAUUAGAAAUCUGUGGUAUCGCUGGCAUCAUCUGCCUCAGCAACAUCACCAUCAUCAAUUGAUGAAUGCUCUGAUUUAUCUGAUUCAUAUCACUUUCACUAGAAUAUUCUGGAGUAGAAACAUCUUCAAAAAGCUUCAUUAAAUGUGCUUCUUCUUUUUCAUUACUCAUAUUUUAUCCUAAAUUUAUUUGUAAAUGUUUUAUAAAGAAAUUGUACACUAACAUUUGUACAUACUUACUUUAUAU
This 409-nucleotide long non-coding RNA is filed under the name Androctonus crassicauda. Lineage: Eukaryota; Metazoa; Arthropoda; Arachnida; Scorpiones; Buthidae. The record is from RNAcentral.